This 497-nucleotide ribosomal RNA is filed under the name uncultured bacterium. RNAcentral's name for it is "partial 16S ribosomal RNA". It matches the Rfam family "Bacterial small subunit ribosomal RNA", at positions 28 to 507 of the family's 1533-position model. The record is from RNAcentral.
GAUGAACGCUGGCGGCGUGCCUAAUACAUGCAAGUCGAGCGAACAGACGAGGAGCUUGCUCCUCUGACGUUAGCGGCGGACGGGUGAGUAACACGUGGAUAACCUACCUAUAAGACUGGGAUAACUUCGGGAAACCGGAGCUAAUACCGGAUAACAUGUUGAACCGCAUGGUUCAACAGUGAAAGACGGUCUUGCUGUCACUUAUAGAUGGAUCCGCGCCGCAUUAGCUAGUUGGUAAGGUAACGGCUUACCAAGGCAACGAUGCGUAGCCGACCUGAGAGGGUGAUCGGCCACCCUGGAACUGAGACACGGUCCAGACUCCUACGGGAGGCAGCAGUAGGGAAUCUUCCGCAAUGGGCGAAAGCCUGACGGAGCAACGCCGCGUGAGUGAAGAAGGUCUUCGGAUCGUAAAACUCUGUUAUUAGGGAAGAACAAAUGUGUAAGUAACUAUGCACGUCUUGACGGUAACUAAUCAGAAAGCCACGGCUAACUACGUG